GACCGGGUCCUGCGCGGCAGGACCUCCGAACCGUGUCAGGACCGGAAGGUAGCAGCACUAAGGGGUAUAUCCUGGGUGCCGCAGGGGUGCCUGGCCUGA
This 99-nucleotide signal recognition particle RNA is filed under the name Chloroflexota bacterium. Its description in RNAcentral is "Chloroflexi bacterium (hot springs metagenome) signal recognition particle sRNA small type". It matches the Rfam family "Bacterial small signal recognition particle RNA". From Rfam's summary of the family: The signal recognition particle (SRP) is a universally conserved ribonucleoprotein involved in the co-translational targeting of proteins to membranes. Lineage: Bacteria; Bacillati; Chloroflexota. RNAcentral also lists the same sequence under 1 other name. The record is from RNAcentral.